This 184-nucleotide non-coding RNA is filed under the name Desulfosporosinus orientis. The record is from RNAcentral. RNAcentral also lists the same sequence under 1 other name. Lineage: Bacteria; Bacillati; Bacillota; Clostridia; Eubacteriales; Desulfitobacteriaceae.
AACUUAAUGAAUUGAGCAAGUGAUUUUUCAAUUCUGAAAAAUUUGACCAGGGAAGCCGGUGUGAAUCCGGCGCGGUCCCGCCACUGUAAAGGGGAGUAAUUGCCAUAUCCACUGAGGAAACUUGGGAAGGAGGCAAUUUACGGUGAACCUAAGCCAGGAGACCUGAUUGCUCUUAUGCUCUACU